Sinocyclocheilus grahami is the source of this 88-nucleotide long non-coding RNA. RefSeq lists it as uncharacterized. The record is from RefSeq and is a predicted model, not a curated record. NCBI's taxonomy places the organism in Eukaryota, Metazoa, Chordata, Actinopteri, Cypriniformes, Cyprinidae. The transcript is spliced from 3 exons.
AAACUGAAGUUACAGUGUAACUUUUUUGUAAUUGUAGUGUACCUAUCCAGUACCUCUGUGUAGGUAUAAGGGUAUAAUAUGCUAAGUU